This 242-nucleotide ribosomal RNA is filed under the name uncultured Bacteroides sp. RNAcentral's name for it is "partial 16S ribosomal RNA". It matches the Rfam family "Bacterial small subunit ribosomal RNA", at positions 796 to 1041 of the family's 1533-position model. The record is from RNAcentral. Lineage: Bacteria; Pseudomonadati; Bacteroidota; Bacteroidia; Bacteroidales; Bacteroidaceae.
CACACAGUAAACGAUGAAUACUCGCUGUUUGCGAUAGACAGUAAGCGGCAAAGCGAAAGCAUUAAGUAUUCCACCUGGGGAGUACGUCGGCAACGAUGAAACUCAAAGGAAUUGACGGGGGCCCGCACAAGCGGAGGAACAUGUGGUUUAAUUCGAUGAUACGCGAGGAACCUUACCUGGGCUUGAAUUGCAACCGACUGCACCUGAAAGGGUGUUUCUCUUCGGAGCGGUUGUGAAGGUGC